RNAcentral lists this ribosomal RNA (497 nucleotides) under uncultured bacterium. RNAcentral describes it as "partial 16S ribosomal RNA". It matches the Rfam family "Bacterial small subunit ribosomal RNA", at positions 28 to 507 of the family's 1533-position model. The record is from RNAcentral.
GAUGAACGCUGGCGGCGUGCCUAAUACAUGCAAGUCGAGCGAACGGACGAGAAGCUUGCUUCUCUGAUGUUAGCGGCGGACGGGUGAGUAACACGUGGAUAACCUACCUAUAAGACUGGGAUAACUUCGGGAAACCGUAGCUAAUACCGGAUAAUAUUUUGAACCGCAUGGUUCAAAAGUGAAAGACGGUCUUGCUGUCACUUAUAGAUGGAUCCGCGCUGCAUUAGCUAGUUGGUAAGGUAACGGCUUACCAAGGCAAGGAUGCAUAGCCGACCUCAGAGGGUGAUCGGCCACACUGGAACUGGGACACGGUCCAGACUCCUAAGGGAGGCAGCAGUAGGGAAUCUUCCGCAAUGGGCGAAAGCCUGACGGAGCAACGCCGCGUGAGUGAUGACGGUCUUCGGAUCGUAAAACUCUGUUAUUAGGGAAGAACAUAUGUGUAAGUAGCUGUGCACAUCUUGACGGUACCUAAUCAGAAAGCCACGGCUAACUACGUG